RNAcentral lists this ribosomal RNA (460 nucleotides) under uncultured bacterium. Its description in RNAcentral is "partial 16S ribosomal RNA". It matches the Rfam family "Bacterial small subunit ribosomal RNA", at positions 338 to 795 of the family's 1533-position model. The record is from RNAcentral.
CCUACGGGAGGCAGCAGUGAGGAAUAUUGGUCAAUGGACGAGAGUCUGAACCAGCCAAGUAGCGUGAAGGAUGAAUGCCCUCUGGGUUGUAAACUUCUUUUAUAUGGGAGUAAAAUGUUCCACGUGUGGGAUUAUGUAUGUACCAUAAGAAUAAGGAUCGGCUAACUCCGUGCCAGCAGCCGCGGUAAUACGGAGGAUCCGAGCGUUAUCCGGAUUUAUUGGGUUUAAAGGGAGCGUAGGUGGAUUGUUAAGUCAGUUGUGAAGGUUUGCGGCUCAACCGUAAAAUUGCAGUUGAAACUGGCAGUCUUGAGUACAGUAGAGGUGGGCGGAAUUCGUGGUGUAGCGGUGAAAUGCUUAGAUAUCACGAAGAACUCCGAUUGCGAAGGCAGCUCACUGGACUGCAACUGACACUGAGGCUCGAAAGUGUGGGUAUCAAACAGGAUUAGAUACCCCAGUAGUC